UGACGCGGCGGCAGGCUUACACCUGCAAGUUAGCGGGGAAGGUAGCUUGCUCACCUAACCUACGGCGGACGGGUGAGUAAUGCUUAGGAAUCUGCCUAUUAGUGGGGGACAACGUUUCGAAAGGAACGCUAAUACCGCAUACGUCCUACGGGAGAAAGCAGGGGAUCAUUUGACCUUGUGCUAAUAGAUGAGCCUAAGUCGGAUUAGCUAGUUGGUGGGGUAAAGGCCUACCAAGGCGACGAUCUGUAGCGGGUCUGAGAGGAUGAUCCGCCACACUGGGACUGAGACACGGCCCAGACUCCUACGGGAGGCAGCCAGUGGGGAAUAUUGGACAAUGGGCGCAAGCCUGAUCCAGCCAUGCCGCGUGUGUGAAGAAGGCCUUAUGGUUGUAAAGCACUUUAAGCGAGGAGGAGGAGCUUCAGGUUAAUACCCUGGAUGCUUGGACGUUACUCGCAGAAUAAGCACCGGCUAACUCUGUGCCAGCAGCCGCGGUAAUACAGAGGGUGCAAGCGUUAAUCGGAUUUACUGGGCGUAAAGCGUGCGUAGGCGGCUAAUUAAGUCAAAUGUGAAAUCCCCGAGCUUAACUUGGGAAUU
RNAcentral lists this ribosomal RNA (594 nucleotides) under uncultured Acinetobacter sp. Its description in RNAcentral is "bacterial SSU rRNA". It matches the Rfam family "Bacterial small subunit ribosomal RNA", at positions 31 to 622 of the family's 1533-position model. The record is from RNAcentral. Lineage: Bacteria; Pseudomonadati; Pseudomonadota; Gammaproteobacteria; Moraxellales; Moraxellaceae.